This 990-nucleotide ribosomal RNA is filed under the name uncultured archaeon. RNAcentral describes it as "bacterial SSU rRNA". It matches the Rfam family "Archaeal small subunit ribosomal RNA", at positions 1 to 1001 of the family's 1478-position model. The record is from RNAcentral.
UCCGGUUGAUCCUGCCGGACCCGACUGCUAUCAGAGUGGGACUAAGCCAUGCGAGUCAACGCAGCAAUGCGUGGCAUACGGCUCAGUAACACGUAGUCAACAUGCCCAGGGGACGUGGAUAACCUCGGGAAACUGAGGAUAAACCGCGAUAGGCCAAGGUUUCUGGAAUGGAUCAUGGCUGAAACCUAUAUGGCCCCUGGAUUGGACUGCGGCCGAUCAGGCUGUUGGUGAGGUAAUGGCCCACCAAACCUGUAACCGGUACGGGCUCUGAGAGGAGGAGCCCGGAGAUGGGCACUGAGACAAGGGCCCAGGCCCUAUGGGGCGCAGCAGGCGCGAAACCUCUGCAAUAGGCGAAAGCUUGACAGGGUUACUCUGAGUGAUGUCCGCUAAGGGCAUCUUUUGGCACUUCUAAAAAUAGUGUAGAAUAAGGGGUGGGCAAGUCUGGUGUCAGCCGCCGCGGUGAUACCAGCACCCCGAGUGGUCGGGACGAUUAUUGGGCCUAAAGCAUCCGUAGCCGGUUCUGCAAGUCUUCCGUUAAAUCCACCUGCUCAACAGAUGGGCUGCGGAGGAUACUACAGGGCUAGGAGGCGGGAGAGGCAAGCGGUACUCAGUGGGUAGGGGUAAAAUCCUCUGAUCCACUGAAGACCACCAGUGGCGAAGGCGGCUUGCCAGAACGCGCUCGACGGUGAGGGAUGAAAGCUGGGGGAGCAAACCGGAUUAGAUACCCGGGUAGUCCCAGCUGUAAACGAUGCAGACUCGGUGAUGGGUUGGCUUCGAGCCAACCCAGUGCCGCAGGGAAGCCGUUAAGUCUGCCGCCUGGGGAGUACGGUCGCAAGACUGAAACUUAAAGGAAUUGGCGGGGGAGCACCACAAGGGGUGAAGCCUGCGGUUCAAUUGGAGUCAACGCCGGAAAUCUUACCGGGAGCGACAGCAGAGUGAAGGUCAAGCUGAAGACUUUACCAGACAAGCUGAGAGGAGGUGCAUGGCCAA